UGGACUGCAUGGCGGCUUCCUGACAACGAUCGGGUGGGCGAGCUCAAUCAACCAAAGCUGCAAAGUUCAAUUUUGUGGGCAAUUUCUUAAUCUGCAGAUUACGAAGCUUAUAUUGAAGAAUCUUGGAUGGAUUCCGAUCCUUCAAAUUUUCGCUGGAUUUGCUCCAUCAUUGGAGAACCGAUCUGGUAUUGACUUGUUGGCUUCACGUUAGUCCCUCCCUUCAGGUAUAUCUGUCACUUUAACUUUUUAUUAGGUUAUCUAUACAACACACCAACAAAUUCAAUGUUAUGGAGUAGACAAUAAUCUUUAAGCAAGGAGAAAGAUAUGCCUCGAUUCAAUUAGUUGCAGUAUUGAUUUGCCAAACAUGGUUUCGAUCGAUGUCACCAAAUCUUGCCUUUAUUCAAUUAGCCAGUGUUGAAGUUGGAGCUUCUUAAGAAGAACCAAAACAUGGUUUUCAAUUCAUGAGAAUGUUAAGCUCACCAUUGAGAUUGGGGACACGAGAAAGAUGAGUGCAAAGCGACUCCUUGGCAUCAAAGACCCUGAUGCUCCCACCAGGGAAGAGUUGGCUGCUGUUCUUGAAGAAGUCCCUUCUUUUAAGUUCCUAUGCAUAAUGCUCACUGUAAGUGAAUUUCAAAUGCCAUGAUUCAUGAAAUUACCAUCUUGGAUUACAAUAUUGACAUUACAUGUCACCGUAUUGUCGUUUAUUCAAACAAAGAUUCCAUGAGUGCAAUGAACCUAGCAAAUAUCAAAUGGUGGUUGGAAUCUUAAAUUCAAACAAGGUCUUUGCCUCGAUACAAAGUAGUAUAUACCAAUUUUGUAGGUGAGAUUGAAAUUUUAGAUUGGAAUGGUUCUGGAUUGUUUUGUUUAAUAUGAUUCCCAUGGUACUUGUAUGAAUAAUGUCGCAUGCAAGGUCUCCAGUACUAUACUCUUUGUUUCAAUAUUAAAUCAUUUAAGUAUGUAGACUCUGUUUUGCAUUUUUUUUUUUUUUUACAGAUGUUUUAACUGAAAAGACUCAUAAUUUGAGCUUCUUGUUGGAUUUCAGUGCAAUGGUUUAGGGAAGGGCAUACAAGGAGCGAUCUAGGUUUGAUUGUCAAGUAUGCAUGUCUACAGAUGCAUUUAGAUUCCAGUUUUCUUGAUAUUUGGCACUCCAAUCAGAUCUUUGCCAAUGAGUCACUUGAAUAUUACAAAAACUGUGCAGGCAUGCUGUAAAGGUACAGGACAUGAAGUUUAAUUUUCCAUUUUGAAGAGCCUUGUGUAUAAUGUGAAGGAUGUGUGAGGCUUGUCUUGUUAAGCUUUCUUGAAUAAGAGCAAAACCUGCUACUAUGUGCUUUUGCCUUUGAAAUAUAGGUUUGGAUCUUUUCCUUCAAGUCUGUGUGAAUAAUGAACUACCAAGAGAGUUUUGUAUUGUAAACCAUAUGUAAACCAUGUUUACUGCAAUAUAAGUUUCUUCUAUUCCAAAA
RNAcentral lists this long non-coding RNA (1460 nucleotides) under Rosa chinensis. Its description in RNAcentral is "sRNA RchiOBHm_Chr5g0010441". The record is from RNAcentral. Lineage: Eukaryota; Viridiplantae; Streptophyta; Magnoliopsida; Rosales; Rosaceae.